This 541-nucleotide ribosomal RNA is filed under the name uncultured bacterium. RNAcentral's name for it is "bacterial SSU rRNA". It matches the Rfam family "Bacterial small subunit ribosomal RNA", at positions 777 to 1313 of the family's 1533-position model. The record is from RNAcentral.
AAUAGAUACCGGGUAGUCCACGCCGUAAACGAUGAGUGCUAAGUGUUAGAGGGUUUCCGCCCUUUAGUGCUGCAGCUAACGCAUUAAGCACUCCGCCUGGGGAGUACGGCCGCAAGGCUGAAACUCAAAGGAAUUGACGGGGGGCCCGCACAAGCGGUGGAGCAUGUGGUUUAAUUCGAAGCAACGCGAAGAACCUUACCAGGUCUUGACAUCCUCUGACACUCCUAGAGAUAGGAUUUUUCCCCCUUCGGGGGGACAGAGUGACAGGUGGUGCAUGGUUGUCGUCAGCUCGUGUCGUGAGAUGUUGGGUUAAGUCCCGCAACGAGCGCAACCCUUGAUCUUAGUUGCCAGCAUUUAGUUGGGCACUCUAAGGUGACUGCCGGUGACAAACCGGAGGAAGGUGGGGAUGACGUCAAAUCAUCAUGCCCCUUAUGACCUGGGCUACACACGUGCUACAAUGGAUGGUACAAAGGGCUGCAAGACCGCGAGGUUUAGCCAAUCCCAUAAAACCAUUCCCAGUUCGGAUUGCAGGCUGCAACCG